Molecule: ribosomal RNA, 254 nt
Filed under: uncultured bacterium
Lineage: Bacteria
Description: partial 16S ribosomal RNA
Rfam family: Bacterial small subunit ribosomal RNA
Source: RNAcentral
UACGUAGGUGGCAAGCGUUGUCCGGAUUUAUUGGGCGUAAAGAGCUCGUAGGUGGUUUGGUAAGUCGGAUGUGAAAUCUCCAGGCUCAACCUGGAGGGGUCAUUCGAUACUGCCAUGACUAGAGGUCGGUAGGGGAGUGUGGAAUUCCUGGUGGAGCGGUGAAAUGCGCAGAUAUCAGGAGGAACACCCGUAGCGAAGGCGGCACUCUGGGCCGAUUCUGACACUGAGGAGCGAAAGCGUGGGGAGCGAACAGG